GGAGCUGUACGUAAAGCACUUCCUUUUUUGAAGACUCGAUCGGAUCGUGGGAUGAUGGGACCUGGCGGACAAAUAGAAAAUAUAGCACCAGUGUUGCAUAGUAAACCCAUGUCAUCAAGACUCAUUAAAUCUAAAGGUACCAUGUCACAAGCUUUGUGCAAAUGAAUAUUUUGUAAGUCAAUUAAGCCUUCUUGCAAAGCAAUGUGGGUGACUAUGUGUCCUAGAAUUAAAGGUCUGC
Molecule: long non-coding RNA, 238 nt
Filed under: Manihot esculenta (cassava)
Lineage: Eukaryota; Viridiplantae; Streptophyta; Magnoliopsida; Malpighiales; Euphorbiaceae
Description: long non-coding RNA (MESC_LNC003266)
Source: RNAcentral